AACGCACAUUGCGCCCCAUGGCAUUCCGUGGGGCACGCCUGUUCGAGCGUCAUUUCAACCGUCAAGCCCGGCUUGGUCUUGGGCCCCGCUUCCCUCCCUUCGCGCGGAGGCGGGCCUCAAUAGCGUUGGCGGCGCGGCGCGGCCCCCGAGCGUGACGGAUUCACGGCGACGGGGGUGUGCGGCCGGCGGCCCAUCGUUUUCUCCACAGGUUGACCUCGGAUCAGGCGGGGAUACCCGCUGAACUUAA
RNAcentral lists this unclassified non-coding RNA (247 nucleotides) under uncultured Microascales. RNAcentral's name for it is "sequence contains 5.8S rRNA gene, ITS2, 28S rRNA gene". Lineage: Eukaryota; Fungi; Ascomycota; Sordariomycetes; Microascales. The record is from RNAcentral.